RNAcentral lists this ribosomal RNA (484 nucleotides) under uncultured bacterium. RNAcentral's name for it is "partial 16S ribosomal RNA". It matches the Rfam family "Bacterial small subunit ribosomal RNA", at positions 30 to 507 of the family's 1533-position model. The record is from RNAcentral.
AUUGAACGCUGGCGGCAGGCCUAACACAUGCAAGUCGAGCGGAUGAAGGGAGCUUGCUCCUGGAUUCAGCGGCGGACGGGUGGGUAAUGCCUAGGAAUCUGCCUGGUAGUGGGGGAUAACGUCCGGAAACGGGCGCUAAUACCGCAUACGUCCUGAGGGAGAAAGUGGGGGAUCUUCGGACCUCACGCUAUCAGAUGAGCCUAGGUCGGAUUAGCUAGUUGGUGGGGUAAAGGCCUACCAAGGCGACGAUCCGUAACUGGUCUGAGAGGAUGAUCAGUCACACUGGAACUGAGACACGGUCCAGACUCCUACGGGAGGCAGCAGUGGGGAAUAUUGGACAAUGGGCGAAAGCCUGAUCCAGCCAUGCCGCGUGUGUGAAGAAGGUCUUCGGAUUGUAAAGCACUUUAAGUUGGGAGGAAGGGCAGUAAGUUAAUGCCUUGCUGUUUUGACGUUACCAACAGAAUAAGCACCGGCUAACUUCGUG